RNAcentral lists this unclassified non-coding RNA (335 nucleotides) under soil metagenome. Its description in RNAcentral is "partial contains 5.8S ribosomal RNA, internal transcribed spacer 2, and large subunit ribosomal RNA". The stretch from base 1 to 120 matches the Rfam family "5.8S ribosomal RNA", at positions 35 to 154 of the family's 154-position model. The record is from RNAcentral.
GAUGAAGAACGUAGUGAAAUGCGAUACGUAAUGUGAAUUGCAGAUUUCAGUGAAUCAUCGAAUCUUUGAACGCACAUUGCGCCCGCUAGUAUUCUGGCGGGCAUGCCUGUUCGAGCGUCAUUUCAACCAUCAAGCCCUGUGCUUGUGUUGGAGCCCUGCGGCUGCCGCAGGCUCCCAAACCCAGUGGCGGGCUCGUCGUCGUACCGAGUGCAGUAAACAUACCACGCUCAGGGCACGCGACGGGUGACCGGCCGUAAAACCCCCCCCCUUCUCAAGGUUGACCUCGGAUCAGGUAGGAAUACCCGCUGAACUUAAGCAUAUCAAUAAGCGGAGGA